RNAcentral lists this ribosomal RNA (465 nucleotides) under uncultured bacterium. RNAcentral's name for it is "bacterial SSU rRNA". It matches the Rfam family "Bacterial small subunit ribosomal RNA", at positions 338 to 795 of the family's 1533-position model. The record is from RNAcentral.
CCUACGGGACGCAGCAGGGGGGAAUAUUGGACAAUGGGCGAAAGCCUGAUCCAGCAAUGCCGCGUGUGUGAAGAAGGUCUUCGGGUUGUAAAGCACUUUCAGUAGGGAGGAAGGUAGUGUAGUUAACACCUGCAUCAUUUGACGUUACCUACAGAAGAAGCACCGGCUAACUCCGUGCCAGCAGCCGCGGUAAUACGGAGGGUGCGAGCGUUAAUCGGAAUUACUGGGCGUAAAGCGCAUGCAGGCGGCCUGUUAAGUCAGAUGUGAAAGCCCGGGGCUUAACCUCGGAACUGCAUCUGAUACUGGCAAGCUUGAGUCUCGUAGAGGGGGGUAGAAUUCCAGGUGUAGCGGUGAAAUGCGUAGAGAUCUGGAGGAAUACCGGUGGCGAAGGCGGCCCCCUGGACGAAGACUGACGCUCAGGUGCGAAAGCGUGGGGAGCAAACAGGAUUAGAUACCCGAGUAGUC